Molecule: ribosomal RNA, 425 nt
Filed under: uncultured bacterium
Lineage: Bacteria
Description: bacterial SSU rRNA
Rfam family: Bacterial small subunit ribosomal RNA
Source: RNAcentral
UGGGGAAUAUUGGACAAUGGGGGCAACCCUGAUCCAGCGACGCCGCGUGUGUGAAGAAGGCCUGCGGGUUGUAAAGCACUUUUAGUGGGGAUGAAAAGCACAUUGCUAAUACCAGUGUGUCUUGACCUAACCCACAGAAAAAGCACCGGCUAACUCUGUGCCAGCAGCCGCGGUAAUACAGAGGUCCCAAGCGUUGUUCGGAUUCACUGGGCGUAAAGGGUGCGCAGGUGGGUUUGCAAGUUCGAUGUGAAAGCCCCGGGCUUAACCCGGGAAUGGCAUUGGAUACUGCAGAUCUGGAGGAUCGGAGGGGGGACUGGAAUUCUUGGUGUAGCAGUGAAAUGCGUAGAUAUCAAGAGGAACACCAGUGGCGAAGGCGAGUCCCUGGACGAUACCUGACACUGAGGCACGAAAGCUAGGGGAGCAAA